This 254-nucleotide ribosomal RNA is filed under the name uncultured bacterium. RNAcentral describes it as "partial 16S ribosomal RNA". It matches the Rfam family "Bacterial small subunit ribosomal RNA", at positions 524 to 776 of the family's 1533-position model. The record is from RNAcentral.
UACGGGGGGAGCAAGCGUUGUUCGGAUUUACUGGGCGUAAAGGGCGCGUAGGCGGCCUGUGCAAGUCAGUUGUGAAAUCUCCGGGCUUAACUCGGAACGGUCAACUGAUACUGCUCGGCUAGAGUGCGGAAGGGGCAACUGGAAUUCUUGGUGUAGCGGUGAAAUGCGUAGAUAUCAAGAGGAACACCUGCGGCGAAGGCGGGUUGCUGGGCCGACACUGACGCUGAUGCGCGAAAGCCAGGGGAGCGAACGGG